This 399-nucleotide ribosomal RNA is filed under the name uncultured bacterium. RNAcentral's name for it is "partial 16S ribosomal RNA". It matches the Rfam family "Bacterial small subunit ribosomal RNA", at positions 360 to 776 of the family's 1533-position model. The record is from RNAcentral.
AAUAUUUCACAAUGUAGGAAACCCUGAUGCAGCGACGCCGCGUGAGUGAAGAAGUAUAUCGGUAGGUACAGCUCUAUCAGCAGGGAAAAAAAUGACGGUACCUGACUAAGAAGACGCGUCUAACUACGUUCCAGCAGCCGCGGUAAUACGUAGGGCGCAAGCGUUAUCCGGAUUUACUGGGUGUAAAGGGAGCGUAGGUGGUUCGGCAAGUCAGAUGUGAAAGCCCGGGGGUCAACCCCGGGACUGCAUUUGAAACUGUCGUACUAGAGUGCAGUAGAGGUAAGUGGAAGUCCUAGUGUAGCGGUGAAAUGCGUAGAUAUUAGGAGGAACACCAGUGGCGAAGGCGGCUUACUGGACUGUAACUGACACUGAGGCUCGAAAGCGUGGGGAGCAAACAGG